AUACGUAUGUCGCAAGCGUUAUCCGGAUUUAUUGGGCGUAAAGCGCGUCUAGGCGGCUUAGUAAGUCUGAUGUGAAAAUGCGGGGCUCAACCCCGUAUUGCGUUGGAAACUGCUAAACUAGAGUACUGGAGAGGUAGGCGGAACUACAAGUGUAGGGGUGAAAUUCGUAGAUAUUUGUAGGAAUGCCGAUGGGGAAGCCAGCCUACUGGACAGAUACUGACGCUAAAGCGCGAAAGCGUGGGUAGCAAACAGGAUUAGAUACCCUGGUAGUCCACGCCGUAAACGAUGAUUACUAGGUGUUGGGGGUCGAACCUCAGCGCCUAAGCUAACGCGAUAAGUAAUCCGCCUGGGGAGUACGUACGCAAGUAUGAAACUCAAAUGAAUUGACGGG
Molecule: ribosomal RNA, 391 nt
Filed under: uncultured bacterium
Lineage: Bacteria
Description: partial 16S ribosomal RNA
Rfam family: Bacterial small subunit ribosomal RNA
Source: RNAcentral